CUUCAAGGAGGUUCACAAAAAAAGACUACAACAAGUACUCCAAAAUACAGGUUUCUGACAACUUUGACAUCAGAAAUUUGAACUGGGACAAAAUUGGAGACACUGAUUAUUUUAGCAAGCCUCUGAAUAGAAUGUCAUGUUUUCAGAUAUAACCAGACAGCUUUAAGGAACUGAAGCUGAGACUAUAAAACUGGUAGAGAUCCUUGGAAAAACUAGCCUGAUACUUCAAAUAAUGGUUCACAUGGAUGCCUUGUGGAGUAAAGAAUGCCACUUUUUGACAGACCCAGAAACCUCAAGAUAUUUGGAGAACUUGAAAAGAGAGGAGUUCACCCAGUAUGUAUGAGUAUUGCAGACAAAAUCACAGGGCAAGUCAAAUUUUUUGCCUGGCUUCCUUGCUUCUGGAGACUUUUAAAGUCCAGUCGAAGAUUUCUUAUGAAACGUUCCAGUAAAGCCAACUUAAAAGGAGCCUGUAUGAUAAAUACAUUCUUGCUGCACUUUAUGCAAGUAAUGAGGCCAAGUUAAUGCAACAAAAUUUAUUCUAUGAACAAAUUAGUUUUAUCAUAAAUAUCUUUGGUAACAAUGGAUCACCAAAGAGAGAGAAAAACUGUUUCAGAAAUAAAAACAACAAUAGUAUACUGGUUAUUAGAUUCUAGCCCUGCCCAUUGUUUUUGAGGUUUCUCUUUUUUUAAUUAUCUGGGCUGAUUUUUAGUUCCCUCCAAUAUCUGGCUGUGACUCUCCAGACAAAUAUUUUUAAUUUUUCUCUCACCUUUCUGACUUGAAAUCACUAAAAAUUAAAAAUGCCUUUUUCCUAAGG
RNAcentral lists this long non-coding RNA (814 nucleotides) under Homo sapiens (human). RNAcentral describes it as "HSALNT0000931". The record is from RNAcentral. Lineage: Eukaryota; Metazoa; Chordata; Mammalia; Primates; Hominidae.